UUUUUUUUUUUUUUUUUUUUGGAGACGGAGUCUCGCUCUGUCACCUGGGCUGGAGUGCAGUGGCCAGAUCUCAGCUCACUGCAAGCACCGCCUCCUGGGUUUACACCAUUCUCCUGCCUCAGCCUCCCAAGUAGCUGUUAAAUAGCUUUUUAAAUGAGGAGGAAAUUGAGAUUUGAAAGGGCAGGACUUUUAAAAAUCAAAAUCAGAGUGUGUGGGGAGCUGAGCCCCCCGUAGCCAUCCUGAGGGACUUUCUCUGUGGCUGACAUGAAGAUCUUGGCAAGGUGAGGAUAUGAAGUCUAGGGGAGCAGAGCCACAGUGCCCAUGCCCCAGAGAGGGACACUGACUCCAGGGUGUGGUGGAGGAGGUGGAACAGCUGAGCCCCACGCUUCACAGAGACCCUGCUGUGGGCCCACCGGAGCACUCAGCAUGGGAGGUGAAGGAGGCAAUGGAGCCGGUCACACAGCAUUCAGCCAGGGCUGCCCCGAGCCUCCACGGCCAACACCCAGGUGUGGGAUGCCCAUUCAACAGUGCCCCAAGCUUGGGGAGGAUGGAAAACCCCAAACAAAUAACUUGAACAAAUCCCUCCUUGGGGUUCAGACCCACACUGCUGCUGGCAUGUCCUGGAUGGCCCAUGGUCUCCUCCAACCCACUGCGUCCAGACACCAACUCAUCACCCCACUCAUGCUUGCUGCUCCUCAAUUCUGACUCCAAUCUUUGUAACAGCCUCUCCAGGCCCCCCCACAUUUCCUGAUAAGCUGCUUGGACAUUGUCCUAGACCAUCCCCCACCUAUUUCUGCACAGCCAUAACUUACCAUUGCCUCUCUCGACCCUCCCCUUCCAGCCCUCCCAGCCCCUCUCACCUGGAUUGGCCUUUCUGGCUCUAGUCUUGCCCUCUCCAAACUUCUCUCCACAUCUCGCCAAAUCUGUGCUUCCAGGACACAAAUCAUAUCCUGCUAGUCACCUCCUCAAAAAUCAAGGGCUCCCCAUGGCCUACAGAAUAAAGUCUAUGUUCUUAACAGAACACCCAGCACCCACCACUUGUCAUUCUAUUCUCAUUUCCAGUGCAUAAGGAGCCUUGUUGUCAGAGCCCGAGGACGCUUUCCUGUCUCAGAACCUUUGCUCGCGCCGCUCUGGACACAGGGCCUGCCUUCUCCCUUUCUCUUCGUCCUGAAGACCUUCUCAUUUUCCAGGCUCCUGUUUCAAUGCCUCCUCCUGCAGGCACCUCCCUGCAGGUGUGGGGACAGGAGUGGGUGGCUGUUUUCUCCUUCCUGCCACUGCCCCAUGCUGGUGUCUCUUUCAGCAUGUUUUUCAUUUGGCCGGGGACAGUGAGGACAGUGGCCUGCUAGCUCUAUUCGGCAGUUAUGUUGUAUCAGACACAGCCAGGUGAAUUUCCACCCAUGAUCUCAUCGAAUCCACACAGUUAGGAGAGGAGGUUUGUCCUGUUUCAUGGACAGGAACUUGAGGCUCAGACAGGAGAAGUGACUUGCCCAAGCAAGGGACAGAGCUGCACUCUGCACUCUCGGUGGAGUCCAGCGAAGUUCCUCCUCCACCUCUCUGCACAAGGCAGCUGCCGGGAGGCAGAACC
Molecule: long non-coding RNA, 1585 nt
Filed under: Macaca fascicularis (crab-eating macaque)
Lineage: Eukaryota; Metazoa; Chordata; Mammalia; Primates; Cercopithecidae
Description: lncRNA (ENSMFAG00000060606.1)
Source: RNAcentral